GAUCCUGGCUUAGAACGAACGCUGGCGGCAGGCUUAACACAUGCAAGUCGAGCGCCCGCAAGGGGAGCGGCAGACGGGUGAGUAACGCGUGGGAAUCUACCCAUCUCUACGGAAUAACUCAGGGAAACUUGUGCUAAUAUCGUAUACGCCCUUUGGGGGAAAGAUUUAUCGGAGAUGGAUGAGCCCGCGUUGGAUUAGCUAGUUGGUGGGGUAAUGGCCUACCAAGGCGACGAUCCAUAGCUGGUCUGAGAGGAUGAUCAGCCACACUGGGACUGAGACACGGCCCAGACUCCUACGGGAGGCAGCAGUGGGGAAUAUUGGACAAUGGGCGCAAGCCUGAAUCCAGCCAUGCCGCGUGAGUGAUGAAGGCCCUAGGGUUGUAAAGCUCUUUCACCGGUGAAGAUAAUGACGGUAACCGGAGAAGAAGCCCCGGCUAACUUCGUGCCAGCAGCAGC
RNAcentral lists this ribosomal RNA (455 nucleotides) under uncultured bacterium. Its description in RNAcentral is "bacterial SSU rRNA". It matches the Rfam family "Bacterial small subunit ribosomal RNA", at positions 15 to 518 of the family's 1533-position model. The record is from RNAcentral.